UACGUAGGGGACAAGCGUUGUCCGGAUUUACUGGGCGUAAAGGGCACGCAGGCGGUUUUUUAAGUCAGAUGUGAAAGGUACCGGCUCAACCGGUGACAUGCAUUUGAAACUGAAAGACUUGAGUAUUGGAGAGGCAAGUGGAAUUCCUAGUGUAGCGGUGAAAUGCGUAGAUAUUAGGAGGAGCACCGGUGGCGAAGGCGGCUUGCUGGACAAAUACUGACGCUGAGGUGCAGGAGAGGGCAAUGGAAUU
RNAcentral lists this ribosomal RNA (250 nucleotides) under uncultured bacterium. RNAcentral's name for it is "partial 16S ribosomal RNA". It matches the Rfam family "Bacterial small subunit ribosomal RNA", at positions 524 to 779 of the family's 1533-position model. The record is from RNAcentral.